Molecule: ribosomal RNA, 376 nt
Filed under: uncultured Acidaminobacter sp.
Lineage: Bacteria; Bacillati; Bacillota; Clostridia; Peptostreptococcales; Acidaminobacteraceae
Description: bacterial SSU rRNA
Rfam family: Bacterial small subunit ribosomal RNA
Source: RNAcentral
GAGAGAUCGGCGUCCCUCGGGGACAGGGUGACAGGUGGUGCAUGGUUGUCGUCAGCUCGUGUCGUGAGAUGUUGGGUUAAGUCCCGCAACGAGCGCAACCCUUGCCUUAGUUGCCAGCACAUUAUGUGGGCACUCUAGAGGGACUGCCGGUGGACAAACCGGAGGAAGGUGGGGAUGACGUCAAUCAUCAUGCCCCUUAUGAUCUGGGCUACACACGUGCUACAAUGGCCGGUACAACGAGAAGCGAAACCGCGAGGUGAAGCAAAUCUUUAAAGCCGGUCCCAGUUCGGAUUGCAGGCUGAAACUCGCCUGCAUGAAGUUGGAGUUGCUAGUAAUCGCGGAUCAGCAUGCCGUGGUGAAUGCGUUCCCGGGUCUU